Molecule: non-coding RNA, 72 nt
Organism: Syphacia muris
Lineage: Eukaryota; Metazoa; Nematoda; Chromadorea; Rhabditida; Oxyuridae
Source: Rfam
AGCAGCGUGGCGCAGCGGAAGCGUGCUGGGCCCAUAACCCAGAGGUCGGUGGAUCGAAACCACUUGCUGCUA